UUCGCAAUGCCCGAAAGGGUGACGAAGCGACGCCGCGUGUGGGAAGAAGGCCUUCGGGUUGUAAACCACUGUCGGGAGUUAAGAAAUGUAAGGAUAUGAAUAGUGUCCUUGCUUGACUAAGGCUCCGGAGGAAGCCACGGCUAACUCUGUGCCAGCAGCCGCGGUAAUACAGAGGCGGCAAGCGUUGUUCGGAAUUAUUGGGCGUAAAGAGCACGUAGGCGGCCUUGCAAGUCAGUUGUGAAAGCCUUCUGCUUAACGGAAGAACAGCAGCUGAUACUGCAAGGCUAGAGUGCGGAAGGGGAGAGUGGAACUUCUGGUGGAGCGGUGAAAUGCGUAGAUAUCAGAAGGAACACCGGCGGCGAAGGCGACUCUCUGGUCCGUAACUGACGCUGAGUGUGCGAAAGCUAGGGGAGCAAACGGGAUUAGAUACCCCGGUAGUCCUAGCCGUAAACGAUGGGCACUAAGUAGAGGGGUUUU
This 477-nucleotide ribosomal RNA is filed under the name Candidatus Brocadia fulgida. RNAcentral describes it as "bacterial SSU rRNA". It matches the Rfam family "Bacterial small subunit ribosomal RNA", at positions 365 to 832 of the family's 1533-position model. Lineage: Bacteria; Pseudomonadati; Planctomycetota; Candidatus Brocadiia; Candidatus Brocadiales; Candidatus Brocadiaceae. The record is from RNAcentral.